CGCGUAUGUAGUGUUUGCCAUACCUGAUCAGCUGGGAAACCCUCUUCUGAAACUCUCUCCGGAGACGUGCCCAAGUACACAAAGGAUGGAUUGGAUGGUCGGAGACCGAAACAGUUGUGCCUGCCUAUGACUUCAUCGAGAAGUGUAUCUCGAUUUUUGUGAACAGACGACGGUCGAAAUGCAUUGCUUAACGAAAAGCUUCGCAUGAAAGGGAGAGAAAGACACGGACUUUUCGACCGACAGUCCGGGGGCAGUCCCUGCAAACACCGCAUGUACCGAUCGCGCGUACCCAGUUACAACUCACGCCGUCGUUUGUGGCAAGGAGACCAUCUGCCACAUUAAAGAGUGAUCCCCCCCAGUGACUAUCAAUUCAUGUGCUUUAGAAGUGGCCUUCGAACGUGACUCAACCUCCAGAACAGGAACGUCGAUCAAGGGAAUAUCGCGAAACUACAGAACCGGAACAGUGAUUCGGGAGAACUAAUGACUGCGACCUUCCUUCGCAGUCGUCAACCAGCGGUCUCUCACUUUUUGGAAGCAAUGCCCGAGGUCAGUUUCGACGCUUCGGGGUAAGGGAACAAGAGGCCGGAAUUCAGCGGUGGCAGGGGCGAUAAAAAACACGUCGUUUAUGACAGGGGGAUCAAAGUGUAAGAUUGGCACGUUCGACUUUCCGUCACCCGCUCUCGCUGUUGCUCCUCCUGGGGAAGGAUGAUCCUGUGAUCCAAGCAAAGCUGCGACCAGUUUUUGAUCGCUUUGUUCAAGGCGCCAAGCUGAGGGCGGGAUGGGAUGUUCGCGCAGGCCCAUGAUCUGGUAGUCUACUUGCGGAAUCGGUUUUAGAUCGCUGUAUUCUUUUACGCAUUGUAUAAGGUCCGAAACAUUUGUUCGUUCUUUCACAAAAAACCAGGGAGGGACAGCGUGGGUCGUUGCUGGAAUCUGAAACAGCCGUUGCACUGUUGUGGACCGACGGAAGAGAACAGGGGGGACCAACCCCUUAGAUACGUCAGCUUGCUCUCCACGCUGCCUAUUGUCACGAGAAAACUUCGUUACCGAACCAUUUCGCGCUAAAUCAGUUGUCGACGACGUAGAAGUUGACGAGGAACGCUGGAGCGACACAGCUUGUUUAAGGGUUGCCAGACGGCGAAGUAAUCUGUUUUUCUUGAUUGUGGAGGUUACCGCCAGCACAAACCGAUAUUUGCACCACCUUCUCAACGCAAACGAGUUAUUCAUGGAUUCGUCCAUGACCGUUGAGGGCGCGUGAGCUUGCUUGGGUAACCAACGCGCGGAUACUACUACUGGCUCGGUCGAGAAUUCACACACAUCUCGGAUUUGAUCUUGCAAGGAGCACUGCCUCCAAACCUUCUCAAUAUCAAAUUGCCGACGAGCGAUUAAUCGUUGGUUUCUUGACUCAUUCGGAGGAUACUCCCCAGUGUUUAUCAUGACCGUCUUAUGUUUCCGCCUGUGAAACUGUGCAGCGUCUUUCCAUCGUUUCUCAAACCGCGCUUUUCUGCUGUCACUUUCAGUGUCGCCAGCUGUGUGACUCAAGUCUGAUCCAGAAAAAAAACUACGACUGUCAGGCGAUUGCGCGACCUUGGUAGACUGAAUUUCAUGUGUUGGUGAUGCAGCGUCAGCUCUGCCCCUCUGUACGCGUGAGAACUUUCCCAGCUUUUUGCCUAUUUGCUGGGUAAAUACCCCGUUCCACACGGCGUGACCUUCGGCAUUCGGGACCAUAACACCAUUGUAAACUACGUGAUUCGGCUUCUCACAACAAUUGCUGCGUUUCUGGCCUGACGGAUGCUGCGC
RNAcentral lists this long non-coding RNA (1797 nucleotides) under Toxoplasma gondii VEG. The record is from RNAcentral. Lineage: Eukaryota; Apicomplexa; Conoidasida; Eucoccidiorida; Sarcocystidae.